UCGCAUCUGUGCAUGCAGCAUAUCAAUAAGCGGAGGAAAAGAAACUAACAAGGAUUCCCCUAGUAACGGCGAGUGAAGCGGGAAGAGCUCAAAUUUGAAAUCUUAAAGGGUUUCCCUUUACGAAUUGUAGUUUAAAGAAGUGUUUUCUGUUGAGGUUUUGGUAAAAGUUCUUUGGAAUAGGACAUCAUAGAGGGUGAGAAUCCCGUAUUUGACCUUUACUUUCAACUUUGUGAUACACUUUCAAGGAGUCGGAUUGUUUGGGAAUGCAGUCCAAAAUGGGUGGUAAAUUUCAUCUAAAGCUAAAUAUUGGCGAGAGACCGAUAGCGAACAAGUACCGUGAGGGAAAGAUGAAAAGAACUUUGAAAAGAGAGUUAAACAGUACGUGAAAUUGUCAAAAGGGAAGCGUUUGACACCAGUGUUGUUUUUCUGAAAAUCAAUUAAAGAACUGUUUAUGCUAAGCUGUUUAGACUUUAUCAGCUAACUGUUUAGUUUUGAGCUUUUCUUUAAUGCACUUUUCAGUUAACAAGUCAACAUCAAUUUCUUUUGCUGUAAAAAAGCUUGAGGAAGGUGGCUUGAGAUUCGUCUUAAGUGUUUAUAGCCUCUUGCCUAUGCAGUCGGAGAGAUUGAGGUCUGCAGCAUAGAUCCUUCGGGGCUAAAUGCAUUUGUGCUAAGUUAUAGCAUUUUAUAGACAACUUGUUGACUACGAUUUGUCUUGUAGCUUACUCGCUUAUGUUAUUUUACCUACGCUUAGGAUGUUGACUGAUAUGUAGUCGUA
This 775-nucleotide ribosomal RNA is filed under the name uncultured Neocallimastigales. RNAcentral describes it as "partial large subunit ribosomal RNA". It matches the Rfam family "Eukaryotic large subunit ribosomal RNA", at positions 24 to 644 of the family's 3401-position model. Lineage: Eukaryota; Fungi; Neocallimastigomycota; Neocallimastigomycetes; Neocallimastigales. The record is from RNAcentral.